This 1120-nucleotide long non-coding RNA is filed under the name Cairina moschata (Muscovy duck). Its description in RNAcentral is "domestica (muscovy Duck (domestic type)) lncRNA (ENSCMMG00000007087.1)". The record is from RNAcentral. Lineage: Eukaryota; Metazoa; Chordata; Aves; Anseriformes; Anatidae.
AAAUGACUAAGGAAAGUCCUGGAAAGAAGGUUUAACAGUACAGAAUAAAGUAAGAGAAGUGUUUGGAAAUGCAUUGUUAAGAACAGCUCUUAAAGCUCCAUGUUAAGUAUUAGAAAGAUGAGAAUUACUUUGUUAUUUCUUAGCAUUGCCGCAUGACAAAGGCAUUCAGUUUCUACCCUGUUGACCAAGAAUCAUCUGCUACUCCAUCGAGAAUGUUGCUAUCUACUGAAAGCACUUUGUAUCUGAAAAGAAAUAGUGAGUGGAGGUAAUAAAGUAUUCACUUUCACUCCACUGAGUUGGUGAAAACUGAUCAGGUCUCUGUUUAUCAGCUGACAAACAUAAUUGCAGCUUAAAAAUCAACUGUAGCCACUUGAGAAUUGGCAGCUCUUCCAGUUUAAGAUGUUUGUUAAAGCUGCUAAUGCUGUGAUAAUACAAGAAAAGUUAUAUAAAUGUCAUUGGGUUUGUUCUUAAAUAAAAAUAACAGCCAUCUAUAGUUGUUCUUCCUUGUUUCUUCCUUGUAAAGAAAUGGCAUUGCAAUGUGGAAGUGGAGCUGGAGUAGUGAAGCUGGCCUCCCACCUCUUUCUUUUUGUUUGAAACUAUGAGAAAAGAAAAGAUAGGGCCCACACCUGGCCAUGGCAGGGGUCCGUGUGGAGGUGUGGUUACCUUUCAACAUCCUCAAAGGCAUCUAAUUGUUCAGGACAUACUGAGUAUCUGCACUUACAGAAAUCAAGCCUCAAGUGGAACUCCCCUGAAAGCAAGGCACCAGGAAGCCAAGAUUAGUUUUCAGAAAAAAAAUCUCAGAGCACUUUCUGCUUAUUAAAGAAUGGAAUGCCUCAGAACACUCUUGGGAUAUACUACAGAAAGUUACCAUCACAGAUGGCUUCCUGCAAUACAAAGAAGGCUCCUGGCAAGGCGGUUUGCUGGAUAACAUUCGAAUUGGAUGUGAUGGAAGUAUAACCUUACAGAAACACUCAUUCACCAGCAUUUAUUUCAUUGUGUUCAGUAGCUACUUUUGCACUGGCACUGCUUUCCUCAUUCUGCACUCACAUACUAAUUUCUCUUGCAUGAAUCUUGCCUAACAGUUGUCUGCAACUGGGUGGUCUCUGUGAGAAGUGGUAAU